GCAGCCGCGGUAAUACGUAGGUGGCAAGCGUUGUCCGGAUUUACUGGGCGUAAAGGGAGCGUAGGCGGACUUUUAAGUGGGAUGUGAAAUACCCGGGCUUAACCUGGGUGCUGCAUUCCAAACUGGGAGUCUAGAGUGCAGGAGGGGAAAGUGGAAUUCCUAGUGUAGCGGUGAAAUGCGUAGAGAUUAGGAAGAACACCGGUGGCGAAGGCGACUUUCUGGACUGUAACUGACGCUGAGGCUCGAAAGCGUGGGGAGCGAACAGGAUUAGAUACCCC
RNAcentral lists this ribosomal RNA (278 nucleotides) under uncultured Clostridium sp. RNAcentral describes it as "partial 16S ribosomal RNA". It matches the Rfam family "Bacterial small subunit ribosomal RNA", at positions 511 to 788 of the family's 1533-position model. The record is from RNAcentral. Lineage: Bacteria; Bacillati; Bacillota; Clostridia; Eubacteriales; Clostridiaceae.